AUUCCAGCUCCAAUAGCGUAUAUCUAAGUUGUUGCAGUUAAAAAGCUCGUAGUUGGAUCUUGGGUCGUAAGGGUCGGUCCGCCUACUCGGUGUGCACCUGCCCUUCCGUCCCUUUUGUCGGCGGCGUGCUCCUGGCCUUAAUUGGCUGGGUCGCGGUUCCGGCGCUGUUACUUUGAAAAAAUUAGAGUGCUCAAAGCAAGCUUAUGCUCUGAAUACAUUAGCAUGGAAUAACGUGAUAGGAGUCUGGUCCUAUUGUGUUGGCCUUCGGGACCGGAGUAAUGAUUAAUAGGGACUGUCGGGGGCAUUCGUAUUUCAUUGUCAGAGGUGAAAUUCUUGGAUUUAUGAAAGACGGACCACUGCGAAAGCACUUGCCAAGGAUGUUUUCAUCG
This 389-nucleotide ribosomal RNA is filed under the name Embryophyta sp. RNAcentral describes it as "partial small subunit ribosomal RNA". It matches the Rfam family "Eukaryotic small subunit ribosomal RNA", at positions 582 to 975 of the family's 1831-position model. The record is from RNAcentral. Lineage: Eukaryota; Viridiplantae; Streptophyta.